GGGCUGGAGAGAUGGCUCAGCC
This 22-nucleotide non-coding RNA is filed under the name Mus musculus (house mouse). The record is from RNAcentral. Lineage: Eukaryota; Metazoa; Chordata; Mammalia; Rodentia; Muridae.